Sciurus carolinensis (gray squirrel) is the source of this 107-nucleotide small nuclear RNA. The record is from RefSeq and is a predicted model, not a curated record. Lineage: Eukaryota; Metazoa; Chordata; Mammalia; Rodentia; Sciuridae.
GUGCUUGCUUCAGUAGUACAUAUACUAAAAUUGGAAGGAUACAGAGAGGAUUAGCAUGGUCCCUGCACAAGGAUGACAUACAAAGUCAUGAAGCAUUCCAUACUUUU